RNAcentral lists this ribosomal RNA (612 nucleotides) under uncultured Acidovorax sp. Its description in RNAcentral is "bacterial SSU rRNA". It matches the Rfam family "Bacterial small subunit ribosomal RNA", at positions 68 to 677 of the family's 1533-position model. The record is from RNAcentral. Lineage: Bacteria; Pseudomonadati; Pseudomonadota; Betaproteobacteria; Burkholderiales; Comamonadaceae.
GGUAACAGGUCUUCGGAUGCUGACGAGUGGCGAACGGGUGAGUAAUACAUCGGAACGUGCCCGAUCGUGGGGGAUAACGAAGCGAAAGCUUUGCUAAUACCGCAUACGAUCUACGGAUGAAAGCAGGGGACCGCAAGGCCUUGCGCGAACGGAGCGGCCGAUGGCAGAUUAGGUAGUUGGUGGGGUAAAGGCUUACCAAGCCUACGAUCUGUAGCUGGUCUGAGAGGACGACCAGCCACACUGGGACUGAGACACGGCCCAGACUCCUACGGGAGGCAGCAGUGGGGAAUUUUGGACAAUGGGCGCAAGCCUGAUCCAGCAAUGCCGCGUGCAGGAUGAAGGCCUUCGGGUUGUAAACUGCUUUUGUACGGAACGAAAAGGCUCUGGUUAAUACCUGGGGCUCAUGACGGUACCGUAAGAAUAAGCACCGGCUAACUACGUGCCAGCAGCCGCGGUAAUACGUAGGGUGCGAGCGUUAAUCGGAAUUACUGGGCGUAAAGCGUGCGCAGGCGGUUAUGUAAGACAGAGGUGAAAUCCCCGGGCUCAACCUGGGAACUGCCUUUGUGACUGCAUAGCUAGAGUACGGCAGAGGGGGAUGGAAUUCCGCGUGUA